Mycteria americana (wood stork) is the source of this 72-nucleotide non-coding RNA. The record is from the annotation of a GenBank genome assembly. NCBI's taxonomy places the organism in Eukaryota, Metazoa, Chordata, Aves, Ciconiiformes, Ciconiidae.
UCCUUGUUUGUGAAGUGGUGAGUAUCCCCACCUGUUGUGUGGGAGACUGGGGUUCAUUUCCCCAGCUGGGAG